GACGAACGCUGGCGGCGUGCUUAACACAUGCAAGUCGAACGGAAAGGCCCUGCUUUUGUGGGGUGCUCGAGUGGCGAACGGGUGAGUAACACGUGAGUAACCUUCCCUUGACUUUGGGAUAACUUCAGGAAACUGGGGCUAAUACCGGAUAGGAGCUCCUGCUGCAUGGUGGGGGUUGGAAAGUUUCGGCGGUUGGGGAUGGACUCGCGGCUUAUCAGCUUGUUGGUGGGGUAGUGGCUUACCAGGGCUUUGACGGGUAGCCGGCCUGGGAGGGUGACCGGGGACAUUGGGACUGCGAUACGGCCCAGACUGCUACGGGAGGCAGCAGUGGGGAAUAUUGCACAGUGGGCGGAAGCCUGAUGCAGAGACGCCGCGUGCGGGAUGCCGGCCUUCGGGUUGUAAACCGCUUUCGCCUGUGACGAAGCGUGAGUGACGGUAAUGGGUAAAGAAGCACCGGCUAACUACGUG
This 468-nucleotide ribosomal RNA is filed under the name uncultured bacterium. RNAcentral's name for it is "partial 16S ribosomal RNA". It matches the Rfam family "Bacterial small subunit ribosomal RNA", at positions 28 to 507 of the family's 1533-position model. The record is from RNAcentral.